GACGAACGCUGGCGGCGUGCUUAACACAUGCAAGUCGAACGGUAAGGCCCCUCGGGGUACACGAGUGGCGAACGGGUGAGUAACACGUGGGUGAUCUGCCCUGCACUUCGGGAUAAGCCUGGGAAACUGGGUCUAAUACCGGAUAGGACCCUGGGAUGCAUGUCCUGGGGUGGAAAGCUUUUGCGGUGUGGGAUGGGCCCGCGGCCUAUCAGCUUGUUGGUGGGGUGAUGGCCUACCAAGGCGACGACGGGUAGCCGGCCUGAGAGGGUGACCGGCCAAACUGGGACUGAGAUACGGCCCAGACUCCUACGGGAGGCAGCAGUGGGGAAUAUUGCACAAUGGGCGCAAGCCUGAUGCAGCGACGCCGCGUGAGGGAUGACGGCCUUCGGGUUGUAAACCUCUUUCAGCACCGACGAAGCGCAAGUGACGGUAGGUGCAGAAGAAGGACCGGCCAACUACGUGCCAGCCGCCGCGGUAA
This 478-nucleotide ribosomal RNA is filed under the name uncultured bacterium. Its description in RNAcentral is "partial 16S ribosomal RNA". It matches the Rfam family "Bacterial small subunit ribosomal RNA", at positions 28 to 523 of the family's 1533-position model. The record is from RNAcentral.